GAACGAGAAAGUGGAGCAAUCCAUGAGUAAAGUGGCGCACGGGUGAGUAACACGUGACUAACCUACCCUGAAGUGGGGGAUAACCUCGGGAAACCGGGGCUAAUACCGCAUAAUCUCGAAAGAGCAAAGGAGCAAUUCGCUUUUGGAGGGGGUCGCGGCUGAUUAGUUAGUUGGCAGGGUAACGGCCUACCAAGACGAUGAUCAGUAUCCGGCCUGAGAGGGCGCACGGACACACUGGAACUGAAACACGGUCCAGACUCCUACGGGAGGCAGCAGUGGGGAAUUUUGCGCAAUGGGGGAAACCCUGACGCAGCAACGUCGCGUGGAGGAUGAAGUCCCUUGGGACGUAAACUCCUUUCGAUCGGGACGAUUAUGACGGUACCGGAAGAAGAAGCCCCGGCUAACUUCGUG
RNAcentral lists this ribosomal RNA (411 nucleotides) under uncultured bacterium. Its description in RNAcentral is "bacterial SSU rRNA". It matches the Rfam family "Bacterial small subunit ribosomal RNA", at positions 64 to 507 of the family's 1533-position model. The record is from RNAcentral.